This 300-nucleotide RNase P RNA is filed under the name Mastacembelus armatus (zig-zag eel). RNAcentral describes it as "Nuclear RNase P (ENSMAMG00000018937.2)". It matches the Rfam family "Nuclear RNase P". From Rfam's summary of the family: Ribonuclease P (RNase P) is a ubiquitous endoribonuclease, found in archaea, bacteria and eukarya as well as chloroplasts and mitochondria. Its best characterised activity is the generation of mature 5'-ends of tRNAs by cleaving the 5'-leader elements of precursor-tRNAs. Lineage: Eukaryota; Metazoa; Chordata; Actinopteri; Synbranchiformes; Mastacembelidae. The record is from Rfam by way of RNAcentral.
GUGGGCGGAAGCUCAUUGUAGAGGUCACAUGCAGAGUGCUCGUCACUCGACCAAUCACCUCGGGGAAGGUCUGAGACAAGAGCCAAUCGCUGCCCUCGCAGGGCAUCAUCCGACGUGGAUGAGCGAGCGAACAGAAAUCACGGGCCCGUGAGCGGCUGCGCAGGAGAAGUCACGUGACCUGAUACCGUCACCGGCGGAUGCGACGCUCACCGGCUUGGAAUCACUCGCGGCUGGCGAAUGAGUGCGAUGGAUGAGGUGGAGCACGGCUCCAGAACCCAAUUCAGACUACUCUCCACCCAC